Long non-coding RNA from Mustela erminea (ermine), 587 nucleotides. RefSeq lists it as uncharacterized. The transcript is spliced from 3 exons. NCBI's taxonomy places the organism in Eukaryota, Metazoa, Chordata, Mammalia, Carnivora, Mustelidae. The record is from RefSeq and is a predicted model, not a curated record.
ACAGAAUUGUGAAGCACAGGAGACAGUUCCACGAGGCGCUCGCGGUUCAUGAGCUCUUACGUCAGCACGCUGGGCUUCUGCCCGCUUUUGGCUCCACUUGUUCUCUGUCCAGGACCCGCUGAGGAAGGGCAGGGGUGCCCUGCCUGUCACUGGCGAGGCUUGCUCGCUCCCCCCGUCUUUCUGAUGGAACACCUAUGGCUCUGGACACCUCCUCUCUUCUUUGUUUAUCUCCCACUCCACGUGCUCAGGACCAUGUGUCAGUAGGGGGCUGGUGUGGCAGCGAAGGAGAACACGAGACCGGCAGAGGGAUGCAGGCACACGCAUGCGCACACAUACACACGGGAUCCAGACAGAGAGAGAGAGUGAGCAGGUGCACAAGCAGGGGGAGCUGCAGGCAGAGGAAGAGGGAGAAGCAGACUCCCCGCUGAGCUGGAAGCCCGAUGGGGGGCCCCAUUCAGGCACUGCCGGCCCAAUCUGGGGGCCCAUGCAGCACAGGGCGUUGGUCUGAAAUACUGUUCUGCGACUUGCUUCUUUCACCCUCCGUCACAUCCCAGUGGGCCCCUCGGAUUGGAGAGGCAGCAUUCCAC